UUAUAUUCUCCACAGGGGGGGAUGAGAACCCCCGACCGGGGUUCGACAACUGGCGCAGCCAGUUGGACAGACCCCGCACGCAGUAAGCGGGCUGCCCCGCAGGGGCGAGCGAAGCGAGUCAAUCCCCCCCUCACCGCCA
Molecule: small RNA, 139 nt
Filed under: Klebsiella pneumoniae
Lineage: Bacteria; Pseudomonadati; Pseudomonadota; Gammaproteobacteria; Enterobacterales; Enterobacteriaceae
Description: RtT sRNA
Rfam family: RtT RNA
About the family: This family represents a bacterial cis-regulatory element known as RtT RNA. The exact function of RtT is unknown although it is thought that it may be involved in changing the cellular response in relation to amino acid starvation.
Source: RNAcentral